RNAcentral lists this unclassified non-coding RNA (167 nucleotides) under uncultured Agaricales. RNAcentral's name for it is "sequence contains ITS1". The record is from RNAcentral. Lineage: Eukaryota; Fungi; Basidiomycota; Agaricomycetes; Agaricales.
UUGAUUUUAAAGGAUGUGCUGGCUUUCUAAAAGCAUGUGCACUCUUAACAAAACCAAUAUCCACCUGUGCACCUUUUGUAGGCAGGAGUUGUAACAACUCUCUUGUCUAUGUCUCUUACAAACAACAAUUGAUCUACCUGAAUGUCUUUGAAUAACAUAUUGUAAUA